This is an RNA transcript of Cyprinus carpio (common carp), 539 nucleotides long. RefSeq lists it as uncharacterized. NCBI's taxonomy places the organism in Eukaryota, Metazoa, Chordata, Actinopteri, Cypriniformes, Cyprinidae. The record is from RefSeq and is a predicted model, not a curated record.
CCCACCACCUUCCACUCUGCAACCUGGUGCAGUGUGUGGAAACCCUUCAGCAUCCAUUUAACCUUCAUCCCCUUCCUUCCAGUCAGACAGGCAUGCAUCUCAAGAAAUAACACAUACAAUGACACUAUUUCUACUGGACUUUACAAAAACUCAUCAGCUCCUUUAUUUUCGGAACAAAAUGGCAUUCUAUAAAAAAAUACAAAACUUAUUCUCACUAAAGGGCUACAACUUGUCAAGUGAGAAAAUUCGAAAAAAAAAAACUAGCAAACAUGUUAACUACUUAUAAGAGAGUGAAAGACAGGCGCCGUGCAACUGGGGAAGGGAAGAUAACCUGGGAGUACUAUACACUAAUGGAUGAGUUAUUUGGGUCAUCGGGGAUCGGUACUGCACCACCUGGCACCAUUCACUCCACACCUCUGGGUUUGGAAGAGACCUCUUCCACAAGCAGGCCCACAACGUCUUCUCUUCAAGACCAGCCGGUAGGUGCUAGUAUGGAUGAACAGCCAGGAACUGCUACCAUACAAAAUGCAAACAACAUC